Molecule: ribosomal RNA, 407 nt
Filed under: uncultured bacterium
Lineage: Bacteria
Description: partial 16S ribosomal RNA
Rfam family: Bacterial small subunit ribosomal RNA
Source: RNAcentral
AUUGAACGCUGGCGGCAGGCCUUACACAUGCAAGUCGAGCGGAGCGGCGGACGGGUGAGUAAUGCCUAGGAAUCUGCCUGGUAGCGGGGGAUAACUUCCGGAAACGGGAGCUAAUACCGCAUACUAUCAGAGCAGCCGAGGUCGGAUUAGCUAGGUGGUGGGGUAAAGGCCUACCAAGGCGACGGUCCGUAACUGGUGUGAGAGGAUGAUCAGGCAACCUGGAACUUAGACACGGUCAAGACUCCUACGGGAGGCAGCAGUGGGGAAUAUUGGACAAUGGGCGAAAGCCUGAUCCAGCCAUGCCGAGUGUGUGAAGAAGGUCUUCGGAUUGUAAAGCACUUUAAGUUGGAAAGCGUUACCAACAGAAUAAGCACCGGCUAACUUCGUGCCAGCAGCCGCGGUAAUAC